This is a long non-coding RNA of Manacus vitellinus (golden-collared manakin), 515 nucleotides long. The record is from Ensembl. NCBI's taxonomy places the organism in Eukaryota, Metazoa, Chordata, Aves, Passeriformes, Pipridae.
CCCAGCGCCCGCUCCCAUCGCCAUGGCAACCCGGAGCCCGAAUCCUUGUCCACGGACUUUAGGAACCUCAUUAAAUCAGGCAGCAGGACAGCAGCUGUGGGCUCAAUGUGUUCUGCUGACAGCCGGGGACUCGCUUUAUGGUGCUCAGGCAAAAUUGGUUGUAUUGCUGAUGGAUGAUUCCCCUGGUGAAAGGUGGUCAUCCAGAGGAUAUCCGUGGUUCCAGUCAUUUCCAAAGGACCAAAUUAAACAAGGAAAACACUGAACUACAUAAAAUCAGCAUGUUACAAACCCCAAGAUCCCAAAACUGUGGAUUAGCUGGAGACAUGACAGAGUCCACAGCCCACUUGUUUGAGAGGAAUCACCUUAAAUUUCUUGGUCUUUUGGUGUCAGAAACAUCCAAUUUACACUGUAGAGGAAACCUGUCGUCAGAUAAAGGGCAUCCAGGUGGGAAGAACCAUCUUCUGAAGUUCUUCUUGAAGUACAUGAAUGUGUGCAUGCUGAAGACUUAAACCUUA